GACGCACUUGCACUUUGUCAGACGUUUGAGGGACGCACUUCAGUUUUGACUCGUCUCAAGAAGAGGGUGACACUCUAUUUUGAGUGGAUGAAGCAAACAGAUCCUCAGUAACAUCAACAACGUAUCAAUGAUGAAGCCGCAGUGAGUCCAUUCAGUGGAUUAUCAAGAGACUUUAAAUUAACGGUGUAAAUAAGCACCUGAGGAAGAAGAGAGGAGAACGCAGCUGUCAGAAGGGAUGAACUCAGGCUUCCUGCGCCAGGCUGUCAGAAACGACACUCCGGCUUUUACAAACAGACAACAGCUCUCUGACUUUCCCCGCACCUUUCUGCGGAGGGCGAUGUGUAAAGUAGUGAGUGUUUGCCUGCGGCGGAUCCCCCUGGCAAAAAACCGUGUGGUGCCAUCUUCCUCUGCCAGUCCAUUAGGGAUGCAAGCUCGCCGUGGAUAAAAUCCAGUCACUUUUCUGCAAUCUCUCUCCCCCGUCCUGGCUGACACCGGUGAUAAGCUAGUGGAGCUGGUGCCUGCCGCAGCUCCCCAGCCGUGAGGACUAGUCUGAAGUAAAGCUCUGAGGAAAAAGUGGAUUCUAAACUUUCCAUCCAUCCCACAUUGGUGUUUACUGGCACCGCCAUGAAAGGAGGAGCCGUCGCGGGUUCUUGACGGCUGCCCGCUAAUUGCUGACCCUAACAGGCCCAAUUAGAGGCAACACGCUCCCUGCAUGGGCCCAGGGGACUACACGUCCCAGCAUGCCGAGCACAGACGCACUCACAACAACACGGCCGAGCGACAAGGACCAGACAUUUCUUGCUUUCUUCUUCUACCCUACCACCCCCCUCUUCUCUUCUCCUCCACUGUGUGGACACUUAAAGAAAACAACAUCGUGAGGUUUGAUGGCGUGAGGGAGCCACGCUCAGAGCUCUUGUUCUAUCAACGUCUUUGUAAAGUCCGAGUUGCAUUUGAAAGCCUUUAGGUUUGAAAGAAAUGAUGCAACUAAAGGGUGUUAAGAGCUUGUUUUUUGAGCGCUGCCAAUCAGAUCUUUUUUAUGUUGUAAUAGUUCAUGCGCCAUUAGAAAUGAAGGUUCUGUGCAGGUACGUUCUUUGUUCAUCAAGGUACAAACAA
Molecule: long non-coding RNA, 1113 nt
Organism: Pygocentrus nattereri (red-bellied piranha)
Lineage: Eukaryota; Metazoa; Chordata; Actinopteri; Characiformes; Serrasalmidae
Exons: 5
Source: RefSeq, a predicted model, not a curated record